Molecule: transfer RNA, 75 nt
Filed under: Armatimonadota bacterium
Lineage: Bacteria; Bacillati; Armatimonadota
Description: tRNA-Glu
Rfam family: tRNA
About the family: Transfer RNA (tRNA) molecules are approximately 80 nucleotides in length. Their secondary structure includes four short double-helical elements and three loops (D, anti-codon, and T loops). Further hydrogen bonds mediate the characteristic L-shaped molecular structure. tRNAs have two regions of fundamental functional importance: the anti-codon, which is responsible for specific mRNA codon recognition, and the 3' end, to which the tRNAs corresponding amino acid is attached (by aminoacyl-tRNA synthetases). tRNAs cope with the degeneracy of the genetic code in two manners: having more than one tRNA (with a specific anti-codon) for a particular amino acid; and 'wobble' base-pairing, i.e. permitting non-standard base-pairing at the 3rd anti-codon position.
Source: RNAcentral
GGGGGUGUGGUGUAACGGUCAGCAUGUGAGACUUUCGAUCUUGCGAUGGGGGUUCGAUUCCCCUCGCCCCUGCCA